AAACGACUCUCGGCAACGGAUAUCCCGGCUCUCGCAUCGAUGAAGAACGUAGCGAAAUGCGAUACUUGGUGUGAAUUGCAGAAUCCCGUGAACCAUCGAGUUUUUGAACGCAAGUUGCGCCCGAUGCCAUUAGGCUGAGGGCACGUCUGCUUGGGUGUCACGU
This 163-nucleotide ribosomal RNA is filed under the name Bupleurum sikangense. RNAcentral describes it as "5.8S ribosomal RNA". It matches the Rfam family "5.8S ribosomal RNA". Rfam says of the family: 5.8S ribosomal RNA (5.8S rRNA) is a component of the large subunit of the eukaryotic ribosome. It is transcribed by RNA polymerase I as part of the 45S precursor that also contains 18S and 28S rRNA. Functionally, it is thought that 5.8S rRNA may be involved in ribosome translocation. The record is from RNAcentral. Lineage: Eukaryota; Viridiplantae; Streptophyta; Magnoliopsida; Apiales; Apiaceae.